GUGGGGAAUAUUCCGCAAUGGACGAAAGUCUGACGGAGCAACGCCGCGUGAGUGAUGAAGGUUUUCGGACUGUAAAGCUCUGUUGUUUAGGACGAAAGUGCCUGUUGCAAAUAGUUACAGGUAUUGACGGUACUGAACGAGGAAGCCACGGCUAACUACGUGCCAGCAGCCGCGGUAAUACGUAGGUGGCAAGCGUUGUCCGGAAUUAUUGGGCGUAAAGAGCAUGUAGGCGGGAAUCUAAGUCUGUUGUGAAAAUGCGGGGCUCAACCCCGUAUUGCGAUGGAAACUGGGUUUCUUGAGUGCAGGAGAGGAAAGGGGAAUUCCCAGUGUAGCGGUGAAAUGCGUAGAUAUUGGGAGGAACACCAGUGGCGAAGGCGCCUUUCUGGACUGUGUCUGACGCUGAGGCGCGAAAGCUAGGGGAGCGAACGGGAUUAGAUACCCGGGUAGUCC
This 450-nucleotide ribosomal RNA is filed under the name uncultured bacterium. RNAcentral describes it as "partial 16S ribosomal RNA". It matches the Rfam family "Bacterial small subunit ribosomal RNA", at positions 354 to 796 of the family's 1533-position model. The record is from RNAcentral.